CGAUGAACCACUUCGGUGGGGAUUAGUGGCGAACGGGUGAGUAACACGUGGGCAAUCUGCCCUGCACUCUGGGACAAGCCCUGGAAACGGGGUCUAAUACCGGAUAUGACCAUCUUGGGCAUCCUUGAUGGUGUAAAGCUCCGGCGGUGCAGGAUGAGCCCGCGGCCUAUCAGCUUGUUGGUGAGGUAAUGGCUCACCAAGGCGACGACGGGUAGCCGGCCUGAGAGGGCGACCGGCCACACUGGGACUGAGACACGGCCCAGACUCCUACGGGAGGCAGCAGUGGGGAAUAUUGCACAAUGGGCGCAAGCCUGAUGCAGCGACGCCGCGUGAGGGAUGACGGCCUUCGGGUUGUAAACCUCUUUCAGCAGGGAAGAAGCGAAAGUGACGGUACCUGCAGAAGAAGCGCCGGCUAACUACGUGCCAGCAGCCGCGGUAAUACGUAGGGCGCGAGCGUUGUCCGGAAUUAUUGGGCGUAAAGAGCUCGUAGGCGGCUUGUCGCGUCGGUUGUGAAAGCCCGGGGCUUAACCCCGGGUCUGCAGUCGAUACGGGCAGGCUAGAGUUCGGUAGGGGAGAUCGGAAUUCCUGGUGUAGCGGUGAAAUGCGCAGAUAUCAGGAGGAACACCGGUGGCGAAGGCGGAUCUCUGGGCCGAUACUGACGCUGAGGAGCGAAAGCGUGGGGAGCGAACAGGAUUAGAUACCCUGGUAGUCCACGCCGUAAACGGUGGGCACUAGGUGUGGGCAACAUUCCACGUUGUCCGUGCCGCAGCUAACGCAUUAAGUGCCCCGCC
Molecule: ribosomal RNA, 791 nt
Filed under: Streptomyces sp.
Lineage: Bacteria; Bacillati; Actinomycetota; Actinomycetes; Kitasatosporales; Streptomycetaceae
Description: bacterial SSU rRNA
Rfam family: Bacterial small subunit ribosomal RNA
Source: RNAcentral